CGGUAAAAAUAACCAACACCAAAUGUUGCUAUUUUAUUUAUUAAUUCCAAGACAAAGGAAAAACAGAAGUAGCUGUUAACAGUGAAUAUAAAUGGAGUUUAAUCUGCAUAGAGACACACAGACGUAAGAAUGGAAGUUCUUAAAUGUAAAUCAAAACAGUAAAAGGUUUGAUAAAAUACAGUAACUAAAAGGCCUUUAUCAGUUUUCUAUGGCAUAUAUUCGGUAUUUGUAAGAUUUUUAGCCGCACACAAAUAGAAAUAAACUGGAAGCUCUUACAUUGCAAAGAGAUUAUAUAACACGUGCUUAAGUAUUUCAGAAUAUAACAUACUGGGCUUGUUGCAUGGUGUAAUAGACAACUGUGGCUGAAACUCCCUUCCUGUUAACACAUGCAAUGAAAGUUCAGUCACUUUUUUUUCUUUACUUUUCAACGUUAGUCUGCCCUAUGGUGGCCAAAUUACAUUACUCAAAAAUGGGACUUGAAGCAAAAAUUAUGGUCAAGAUUUGUACUGACCAAAAAUAUGAAGUUGUUGAUCAAUCUUUAUUAUGCUACAGG
Molecule: long non-coding RNA, 553 nt
Organism: Xiphophorus hellerii (green swordtail)
Lineage: Eukaryota; Metazoa; Chordata; Actinopteri; Cyprinodontiformes; Poeciliidae
Exons: 2
Source: RefSeq, a predicted model, not a curated record